AAGGUUAAUCGUGGGGGAGAUCUCGUUAGCGAAUCGUCAUAAAACAGGUGAGCCUUAGAUCGAUGGACUUGGAGCUGGGCGAGAUUCAGAGUGGCCACGAAGAUUAAGUUUCUGUUUUCUUUAAAAUAAGUUUCGCAUUUAUUAUUUUGAUCAUUUUUAUUCUGGUUUAAGUUGUAAUAAGGUUGCUCUUUUUAUUAUUUUUAAUAUUUUGGGUUAUUAAAUUGGUUAGCUCUAAAGCGCGUUUUAUAAAA
Molecule: long non-coding RNA, 251 nt
Organism: Gossypium arboreum
Lineage: Eukaryota; Viridiplantae; Streptophyta; Magnoliopsida; Malvales; Malvaceae
Exons: 2
Source: RefSeq, a predicted model, not a curated record